GCACAAUUCCUUACACGGAGAUGAUCAAUUGUAGGAAGAACACCAAUUUCUACAAUAGAUGAAAGCUGAGGACAUCAUUUAACCUCGAAUGUUAGUAGGUUGACUAGGCUUUGCACAAUAUUAUCAUUUGACCAAAAAGUCACUAGGUCCUUACAAUCAUCACUUUUCAAAAUUUUCAAGUCGCAUGAAUGCAUUGUUAAUUGAAGUCAUACCAACUAUAUUCUUCAAUUUUAAAUUGGUUGGGGUGGUUAAAUUGUGCAUACCAUUUAACACAUCUUCACCACACCCUUCUACUUAUAGUUCACAAAUAGAAAUAACAAUUUUGGAAUCUUUAUCAAUUUGGGACGUUCCUUUAUGCAAUACAUCUUGAGGAAUUUAAUUUCCCCAUGCACUUCAAGUUUUAAUCCAAGCCAUUCCUCCCAUUCUGUCAUGUCCUAAAAAAUAGAGUCUCCAGUGAUUUGGAUGGUAAUUCUCCCCAACACAUAUUUCCAUAAAACUCCUCUAUAAUUACUUUUAAUUGAUUCAUGCUCAAGUCUCUAACACAAGGGUAGAUACUCUAGUGUUGGUAAAGAGAUGCACUUUAUACAUUGUCGGAGCCAAUCUUCAAAAUUGGGUUACUCCAAUUAUCCUAACAAAUGAGUUUAGUUACACAUCAUUUAAGUAAUAAGCAAAUUGAGUGGAGAUAUCCAUCGUAGGGUUAGAUUUGCUUGAAAUUUGUGCCCAAAACACCAGAAUCACCACCCUGAGACCAUCCACGAAGUUUGGUGCCGCUAACUUGAACCAGUGAUGCUUCAACUCGCACCACCACCUUACACCGACAGUGCUUGUACUCGUCUCUGCAGUCCAACUUCAGUUUCGCAUGACAUUUUAUCUACAACUCUGAUUUGCAACCCAUCUUUUUGCGUUAGACUCCAGAUUGGAUGAUCUUUCCCAUAAUAUAUUAUAUGCCAAAUGGAAAUUCAUGAAUCUUCCCAUGCUGCUCUCCAAAUUGCUCCUCUUUCGGUGUUUAACACUAAUUUUUGCUCCAUUAUUCGCCCACGUGUUUUCGAAGCUCGGGACCACCCCUAAGACAUAAAGAAAUGUCAAAAAUCAGCAGAUACUCGAGCAAUAUAGAUAGGUUAUAUACACUUAUCAACAACAUUGGCUUCAACUGACAAUAAAUGUUCCCAGAGUUGCUCGACACUCGAAGAAAAAAGUGUCGCUAGAUGAUGGUUCGCCGUGCUGCCCUCUCUUGUUAACUGUGUAAUAACAGAAACAAUGUUUAUGUCAAAUAUGAUGUAAAACAGCAAGCCAUGAAAUCCAGCUGAUGUA
RNAcentral lists this long non-coding RNA (1311 nucleotides) under Olea europaea subsp. europaea. The record is from RNAcentral. Lineage: Eukaryota; Viridiplantae; Streptophyta; Magnoliopsida; Lamiales; Oleaceae.